This 468-nucleotide ribosomal RNA is filed under the name uncultured bacterium. RNAcentral's name for it is "partial 16S ribosomal RNA". It matches the Rfam family "Bacterial small subunit ribosomal RNA", at positions 28 to 507 of the family's 1533-position model. The record is from RNAcentral.
GACGAACGCUGGCGGCGUGCUUAACACAUGCAAGUCGAACGGAAAGGCCCUGCUUUUGUGGGGUACUCGAGUGGCGAACGGGUGAGUAACACGUGAGUAACCUGCCCUUGACUUUGGGAUAACUUCAGGAAACUGGGGCUAAUACCGGAUAGGAGCUCCUGCUGCAUGGUGGGGGUUGGAAAGUUUCGGCGGUUGGGGAUGGACUCGCGGCUUAUCAGCUUGUUGGUGGGGUAGUGGCUUACCAAGGCUUUGACGGGUAGCCGGCCUGAGAGGGUGACCGGCCACAUUGGGACUGAGAGACGGCCCAGACUCCUACGGGAGGCAGCAGUGGGGAAUAUUGCACAAUGGGCGGAAGCCUGAUGCAGCAACGCCGCGUGCGGGAUGACGGCCUUCGGGUUGUAAACCGCUUUCGCCUGUGACGAAGCGUGAGUGACGGUAAUGGGUAAAGAAGCACCGGCUAACUACGUG